UGUCUUGUGUCUUUACUUCCUGUCUGUGUUUUCACUCCAGUUUUGAUUGUUGGCCCUCCCUUGAUUGUUUGCACCUGUGUCUCGUUGUCUCACCUCCCCUAGGGCAUUUAGUCCAGGUCUUCUUUGUUCAGGGUUGGAUCAUCGUUGUACACGUGGUGUUGGUCCUGCCAAGCGUAUCUACCGAGGAUCCAAAUAACGAAUGAAGUUAGUGAGUAUGGAUCAGACCGACAUCAGAGGGGAACGCUGGUAAACGUUUACUGCAUGUGUUGGUUCGGACGGAGACGUGGACACACAGGAAGAGACAGACGGCAGACAUGGAGGGACAGCUGCACCAUCUCUAAGACCUGAAGCGCAGAGAACUCUAACGUCUUUUUGUGGCGAGAACAUGUUGAAGAGUACUGAUCGUCUCCACCUGUUUCCUCUGAUCGUCUCCAUCAUGUUGGCGUCCUGCAGCUGCUGGUGGAUCGAGGCUGAAUCAGCCUGCAGAGCUCACAGGCUGACAGCUUACAUAAGCACACUGUACACGGUAUUAUUCUCCAAACAUGGCCUUAAUCCCUACACUGGGAGAGAUAAGUCUCACCAAGGUGGGAUUCCUGCGGCUGAAGAUGAGUCGCUGUGAUGCUGCUGCACGUUAACAUUUCCUCCCUGUUUGAUCCGUGUUGUCCUGUAAGCUGAUCCACACCGACACAACGCACAUCUGCUCGUGUCCAUGUUUUUUUCCUCAACGUGCACGCGUCUACAGCGAGCUGCUCUGCAAACGCCACAUCACUCAUCUCUGGAUCUUUUUUCAAAAGAUGGAUGAAAGUAAAGGGAUAAUGAACGUUCUGCUGAUGAGUUUUUAUUUGUUUUUCACACGAAGAGAACGAGUCACUUCACAAUUAUUUGUUCCUAUAUCAGGAAA
Siniperca chuatsi (mandarin fish) is the source of this 901-nucleotide long non-coding RNA. RefSeq lists it as uncharacterized. The record is from RefSeq and is a predicted model, not a curated record. The transcript has 3 exons. Lineage: Eukaryota; Metazoa; Chordata; Actinopteri; Centrarchiformes; Sinipercidae.